GUGCUCACUUCAGCAGCUCAUAUCCUAAAACUGGAAUAAUACAGAGAAGAAUAGCUUGGCCCUUGCAUGAAGAUGACAUGCAAAGUCAUGGAGUGUUCCAUAUUUUU
Small nuclear RNA from Jaculus jaculus (lesser Egyptian jerboa), 107 nucleotides. The record is from Ensembl. Lineage: Eukaryota; Metazoa; Chordata; Mammalia; Rodentia; Dipodidae.